Neocloeon triangulifer is the source of this 895-nucleotide long non-coding RNA. RefSeq lists it as uncharacterized. The record is from RefSeq and is a predicted model, not a curated record. Lineage: Eukaryota; Metazoa; Arthropoda; Insecta; Ephemeroptera; Baetidae. The transcript is spliced from 6 exons.
UAAUUUUUUAAGGACUUAUUAGGUCAAGUGAGUGUCGUUUUCGGGCCGAGACCUUUCGCCGGGAGCAUCUGAGAUUCCAAAAAAACGGCCCGAGUUGGAUUUUCGGCUUGAAAACUGUCCCAAUCGACCAAAAUCUUGCGCCCCGGGAAGGCCAAAGGACCUCAGGCGUGAGUGGAAGGUCGGCCAGGCUGGGCCAGACAAGGCCAGGCGUCCUUUUUUCUGAGAAUCGUCGCCAUUUGAACAAUUGAGCCGUCUUGUGGUGCGGUAAUGUUUAUGCUUUUUACAGGAAAUCGGUGCCGAGGACGGCCUGAGAGGCUUUUAGCAUUCCGGAAGUUUCUGCGGACGCACAGAUUGAAUGCCCUUGUGGAGAAAAGGGUCAUUGCUUCUAUCACUUGGAGAGAGUUGACCUCUGUGUCGGGUCCUUCCAGGGCCACGCAGCCUUUUACAUUCAGGGCUGAGACCUUUUUGUGCCCACCCUGGCCUUCGAAGAGGACAAUUCGAACAGCAAAGUCAGUGGUGCCGAGGCCAGUCCGCAAAGAAUCUAAAAUCAAAGGGACCGUUUUCAUUAAUUUGAUCAUCAUCGGGGGUCACCCUGGUCAAGACCAGCCAGCGCAGACCUUCCAUAAGGAAGAUGGAAAGUCCAAUUCAACUCACAAAACAUCGUGAUUCCUCAAUCUUGGUUGAGGCUCGGAUUUUAUCAUCACAAAGGUUUGACGUACGUUUUGACUGGUGGCAUUUUUUGUCUGCAAAGUGGCUGUCCUGGUUGCAUCGGCACGACCCGGUUUCGGCCUCAUUCGCCGCCGCGCUGCACGUCGAGUCGGCGCCAAACGUGAACUGGCACUGCACCUCGGCCCAGCACGCGUCGCCGAUUUUCGUCGCCACUGCAAAAUACAAA